ACGAUUCAUACGGAAUAACACCUAGAAUGAUGCUGGCCUUUCUCCACCCAUUCCAUUGAUCACAAUGCAAAUCACUGUAUAUGUAAUACAUAUUGGCAACACUCCGUAUUAUUCAGAACACCAUGGAAUGACUCCAUAUAUACAUUCUACAGACACCCCUGAGUAUUUCCUAUAAUACUUUUACUGUGGCACCCAGAAUAUGUGUUGCUCUAUAGGCAAAUAGGCAUUCCAUUUGCGUUGAUUUGCAUUGGGAACAUUUAUUUGACCUUAGAACAUAUAUAUAUUUUUUUUACAAAUGUAAUGCAAAUGCAACUUAAAUAUGAACAAAUAUGAAUCAUUGUUAAUGUUUAGACAAUAGUUGUUCAUAUAUCAUGAAUAAAUACAAGUUUUUCACACUUUAUAUAAUAUUACGUGGGGGACUUUUAUUUUGAAAGUUUCUUAAAUUCCGCAACACGGAAGUACUUUUUUUUUUUUUGUGUUGCUGACGACAAGCUGGUGACUCCUAGUUACAGGGCGGCAGCUUCGAUCGCACAUGGCAGACUACAAAAGGGUUGUGUUUCAGCUCGCAAAGCGGUUCACAAAUAUAUUCAGAACACACUAUGCAGCCGGUCUGUAUACCUCAGUGUUGUGUGCAGCCUGUCCGAGUGGUGAGAUGCCUUUGGAUAUACGGCGUAAAAAACAACAUUAUUUUAUUGGGUUAGGCUGAAAGGCUGUAAAGUUGAGUAACCCACUGCUACUGUUCUAGAUGACUGUUGGGAAUAUACAAGUAGACAAGGCAGUGGUUUUGGUUGGACAGUUGGAAAAACUUGCUGAUGAGAAUGGUUGGAGGUUGGCCCUUCCGUGGUGAUUAAGGUCUGUUCCUCCAUGGUUAUAGUUAGUUAGCUCGUAGAUUUAGCAAAAGCAGAGUGGGUAGCCACUUUGUCGAUGUGCACAAGAGUAACUAACUAGGCACUUUUGCUAACCUUGCCUGGUGGGUUCUUCUAGAUUUAGCGAACUGACGUUAACUAGCUCAAUCUAGUCAAGUAGCCAACAAACAUUCAACCUUGAAACUAAAAAGUUGAUUUCCUUGCUCAAGUAUGGGGAUGUGCUUAUCGUGCCUUGGUGGACCUGGAAACGACUUGUCCACCACACCAGAUCGAGAGACAAGGAGACUUGAGCUGGCAGAGGCCGCUGAGAAGAGACAGAAAGAGUGGCAGGUAGGCUAAAGAUAGACAUGGAGAGAUCCUGGAAGUCUCAAUGUAGACUGAGGUUCAGCUAACAACAUGAAGAGUGUUGGUACCAGUUGACUUAAAGGCUUUUUUUUUUUUUUUUAAUGUCAGCCCAUUCUACUAGAUUUUUUUAUUUUUAAAUGCAAGGUUUUUUUUAUAUUUUUUUUAGAGCCGAUUGUGUGUCUGCAUCUCUCAACUUCGUAGGAUAGUUUGCCGGGCUUUGACGCUGGUUAAAAAAAUAAAAAAUAAAGAUUCUGUUGGCCAAUGUUGGCCGUGUGAAUCACAGGACAUGCCUCCCUUAAUGCCAAGAUAUACAAGAGAAUAUGCAAGCCAGCCAAUGGAGCUUUAGAACAGACAGGGUGGCGUAGCUAUGAAUAGAAUAUAAACACUCAGAGGAAAUAUGCUCUCACACUACAUCGAUAAACUGUACCAGGCGUCUUGCAGUGAACUCUCUCUCUUUGUGUUCUCUUUGUCCUCUCGCCUUUCUUUCUCUCAGCCAUUUCAACUUUGCCAGCUUUAACACCAUGGCGCUUACUUCUUUUGCAAUUGUUUCAGACAUUUUGAACUUUGAGGAAUAUUCUUGUGAUCUAUUUACUGUAUAGUAUAUUUUCCUUCUAAAAUAAUUUUAUGCAACAAAGUCCUUUUUACUGUUCAAAAUAGGCCUAGAUGAUUCAAAUGACAUUUUCUAUUGUAGAUCAGUGUGAAAAAAACUACGUUUCCCAUAGCUACUGAUGAACCACAUGUGAACGUUUUAGAGUUCCCGCACCAGCACUAUUCAGUUGACUUCACUUUAGUGUUUGAUUUUCAUAUGUCUGUGCAAUAUAAGUUAUUUGCUACACGUUGUAUUGGUUUGUAAUGUAUGAAGAAAAUGCUAUAUUUUAAAUGAGGUAAGAGGUUUGAGUCGUGAAAGCCUGAUGAAAGUGUUUUUUUUAUGCAUGAAUAUUUCUUCUUUUUUUCCUCUCAUUUCAACCUGUUCAGUAAUAUUGUUGUCAUGACAAUGUUCCAGGAAUUAUUUUAUCCAAACAUACACCGGUGUCACAAUGUUCUUUCUUGGGUAUGCAGUCUGUUGUCAGGAUGGUAAUAGGACUACCGUUAUUCACCAGGUUUCAGUCCAUUUCAGUUCAGGAAGUACACUGAAAUUACAAUUAUCUGCAAUGCUUUUCAAUGAGGAAUUUUUUUGGGGGAUUUACUUUCUGAAUUUAAAUAGAAUUGACCCCAACCCUGUCAUCCACUGGGGCGUACCUGUCCACGAUGAUAACUCUGCAGAUCUGUCAUCCACUGGGGCGUACCUGUCCACGAUGAUAACUCUGCAGAUCUGUCAUCCACUGGGGCGUACCUGUCCACGAUGAUAACUCUGCAGAUCUGUCAUCCACUGGGGCGUACCUGUCCACGAUGAUAACUCUGCAGAUCUGUCAUCCACUGGGGCGUACCUGUCCACGAUGAUAACUCUGCAGAUCUCAGAAGGAAAUGGGAAGAGAGCCUGAACCAGCAGGUGUUAUUGUGCACUUGGAAGUAUUGCAUUUAUACCUGCCUUGCUUUUUAUACUUGAGGUUUCUUCUUCCUAUACCCACCUAGUGCUUCAAAGGCUCUUGCCAUUUUGAGGUGCAUGAAGUCACGCCAAUGUCAUUUUGUUGAAAUAAAGUUGUCAGAUGAC
Long non-coding RNA from Salvelinus fontinalis (brook trout), 2862 nucleotides. RefSeq lists it as uncharacterized. The transcript is spliced from 3 exons. The record is from RefSeq and is a predicted model, not a curated record. Lineage: Eukaryota; Metazoa; Chordata; Actinopteri; Salmoniformes; Salmonidae.